UACGUAGGUCCCGAGCGUUGUCCGGAUUUAUUGGGCGUAAAGCGAGCGCAGGUGGUUUAUUAAGUCUGGUGUAAAAGGCAGUGGCUCAACCAUUGUAUGCAUUGGAAACUGGUAGGCUUGAGUGCAGGAGAGGAGAGUGGAAUUCCUAGUGUAGCGGUGAAAUGCGUAGAGAUUAGGAAGAACACCAGUGGCGAAGGCGAUUCUCUGGACUGUAACUGACGCUGAGGCUCGAAAGCGUGGGGAGCGAACAGG
RNAcentral lists this ribosomal RNA (252 nucleotides) under uncultured bacterium. RNAcentral describes it as "partial 16S ribosomal RNA". It matches the Rfam family "Bacterial small subunit ribosomal RNA", at positions 524 to 776 of the family's 1533-position model. The record is from RNAcentral.